RNAcentral lists this ribosomal RNA (2925 nucleotides) under Bacillus thuringiensis DB27. RNAcentral's name for it is "bacterial LSU rRNA". It matches the Rfam family "Bacterial large subunit ribosomal RNA". Lineage: Bacteria; Bacillati; Bacillota; Bacilli; Caryophanales; Bacillaceae. The record is from RNAcentral.
UUAAGUUAGAAAGGGCGCACGGUGGAUGCCUUGACACUAGGAGUCGAUGAAGGACGGGACUAACGCCGAUAUGCUUCGGGGAGCUGUAAGUAAGCUUUGAUCCGAAGAUUUCCGAAUGGGGAAACCCACCAUACGUAAUGGUAUGGUAUCCUUAUCUGAAUACAUAGGGUAAGGAAGACAGACCCAGGGAACUGAAACAUCUAAGUACCUGGAGGAAGAGAAAGCAAAUGCGAUUUCCUGAGUAGCGGCGAGCGAAACGGAACAUAGCCCAAACCAAGAGGCUUGCCUCUUGGGGUUGUAGGACAUUCUAUACGGAGUUACAAAGGAACGAGGUAGACGAAGCGACCUGGAAAGGUCCGUCGUAGAGGGUAACAACCCCGUAGUCGAAACUUCGUUCUCUCUUGAAUGUAUCCUGAGUACAGGCGGAACACGUGAAAUUCCGUCGGAAUCUGGGAGGACCAUCUCCCAAGGCUAAAUACUCCCUAGUGAUCGAUAGUGAACCAGUACCGUGAGGGAAAGGUGAAAAGCACCCCGGAAGGGGAGUGAAAGAGAUCCUGAAACCGUGUGCCUACAAAUAGUCAGAGCCCGUUAACGGGUGAUGGCGUGCCUUUUGUAGAAUGAACCGGCGAGUUACGAUCCCGUGCGAGGUUAAGCUGAAGAGGCGGAGCCGCAGCGAAAGCGAGUCUGAAUAGGGCGUUUAGUACGUGGUCGUAGACCCGAAACCAGGUGAUCUACCCAUGUCCAGGGUGAAGUUCAGGUAACACUGAAUGGAGGCCCGAACCCACGCACGUUGAAAAGUGCGGGGAUGAGGUGUGGGUAGCGGAGAAAUUCCAAUCGAACCUGGAGAUAGCUGGUUCUCCCCGAAAUAGCUUUAGGGCUAGCCUUAAGUGUAAGAGUCUUGGAGGUAGAGCACUGAUUGGACUAGGGGUCCUCAUCGGAUUACCGAAUUCAGUCAAACUCCGAAUGCCAAUGACUUAUCCUUAGGAGUCAGACUGCGAGUGAUAAGAUCCGUAGUCAAAAGGGAAACAGCCCAGACCGCCAGCUAAGGUCCCAAAGUGUGUAUUAAGUGGAAAAGGAUGUGGAGUUGCUUAGACAACUAGGAUGUUGGCUUAGAAGCAGCCACCAUUUAAAGAGUGCGUAAUAGCUCACUAGUCGAGUGACUCUGCGCCGAAAAUGUACCGGGGCUAAAUACACCACCGAAGCUGCGGAUUGAUACCGAAUGGUAUCAGUGGUAGGGGAGCGUUCUAAGGACAGUGAAGUCAGACCGGUAAGGACUGGUGGAGUGCUUAGAAGUGAGAAUGCCGGUAUGAGUAGCGAAAGACGGGUGAGAAUCCCGUCCACCGAAUGCCUAAGGUUUCCUGAGGAAGGCUCGUCCGCUCAGGGUUAGUCAGGACCUAAGCCGAGGCCGACAGGCGUAGGCGAUGGACAACAGGUUGAUAUUCCUGUACCACCUCUUUAUCGUUUGAGCAAUGGAGGGACGCAGAAGGAUAGAAGAAGCGUGCGAUUGGUUGUGCACGUCCAAGCAGUUAGGCUGAUAAGUAGGCAAAUCCGCUUAUCAGUGAAGGCUGAGCCUGUGAUGGGGAAGCUCCUUAUGGAGCGAAGUCUUUGAUUCCCCGCUGCCAAGAAAAGCUUCUAGCGAGAUAAAAGGUGCCUGUACCGCAAACCGACACAGGUAGGCGAGGAGAGAAUCCUAAGGUGUGCGAGAGAACUCUGGUUAAGGAACUCGGCAAAAUGACCCCGUAACUUCGGGAGAAGGGGUGCUUUCUUAACGGAAAGCCGCAGUGAAUAGGCCCAAGCGACUGUUUAGCAAAAACACAGCUCUCUGCGAAGCCGUAAGGCGAAGUAUAGGGGGUGACACCUGCCCGGUGCUGGAAGGUUAAGGAGAGGGGUUAGCGUAAGCGAAGCUCUGAACUGAAGCCCCAGUAAACGGCGGCCGUAACUAUAACGGUCCUAAGGUAGCGAAAUUCCUUGUCGGGUAAGUUCCGACCCGCACGAAAGGUGUAACGAUUUGGGCACUGUCUCAACCAGAGACUCGGUGAAAUUAUAGUACCUGUGAAGAUGCAGGUUACCCGCGACAGGACGGAAAGACCCCGUGGAGCUUUACUGUAGCCUGAUAUUGAAUUUUGGUACAGUUUGUACAGGAUAGGCGGGAGCCAUUGAAACCGGAGCGCUAGCUUCGGUGGAGGCGCUGGUGGGAUACCGCCCUGACUGUAUUGAAAUUCUAACCUACGGGUCUUAUCGACCCGGGAGACAGUGUCAGGUGGGCAGUUUGACUGGGGCGGUCGCCUCCUAAAGUGUAACGGAGGCGCCCAAAGGUUCCCUCAGAAUGGUUGGAAAUCAUUCGUAGAGUGCAAAGGCAUAAGGGAGCUUGACUGCGAGACCUACAAGUCGAGCAGGGACGAAAGUCGGGCUUAGUGAUCCGGUGGUUCCGCAUGGAAGGGCCAUCGCUCAACGGAUAAAAGCUACCCCGGGGAUAACAGGCUUAUCUCCCCCAAGAGUCCACAUCGACGGGGAGGUUUGGCACCUCGAUGUCGGCUCAUCGCAUCCUGGGGCUGUAGUCGGUCCCAAGGGUUGGGCUGUUCGCCCAUUAAAGCGGUACGCGAGCUGGGUUCAGAACGUCGUGAGACAGUUCGGUCCCUAUCCGUCGUGGGCGUAGGAAAUUUGAGAGGAGCUGUCCUUAGUACGAGAGGACCGGGAUGGACGCACCGCUGGUGUACCAGUUGUUCUGCCAAGGGCAUAGCUGGGUAGCUAUGUGCGGAAGGGAUAAGUGCUGAAAGCAUCUAAGCAUGAAGCCCCCCUCAAGAUGAGAUUUCCCAUAGCGUAAGCUAGUAAGAUCCCUGAAAGAUGAUCAGGUUGAUAGGUUCGAGGUGGAAGCAUGGUGACAUGUGGAGCUGACGAAUACUAAUAGAUCGAGGACUUAACCAU